AGCGGCCAUAGGAGUGGCGUAACACCCAGUCCCAUUUCGAACCUGGAAGUAAAGGCCACUUACGACUUUGCUGGUACUGCCAUCUGGCGGGAAAGCGGGUUGCUGCU
This 107-nucleotide ribosomal RNA is filed under the name uncultured archaeon. The record is from RNAcentral.